UGGGGAAUAUUGGACAAUGGGCGAAAGCCUGAUCCAGCCAUGCCGCGUGUGUGAAGAAGGUCUUCGGAUUGUAAAGCACUUUAAGUUGGGAGGAAGGGCAGUAAGCGAAUACCUUGCUGUUUUGACGUUACCGACAGAAUAAGCACCGGCUAACUCUGUGCCAUCAGCCGCGGCAAUACAGAGGGUGCAAGCGUUAAUCGGAAUUACUGGGCGUAAAGCGCGCGUAGGUGGUUCGUUAAGUUGAAUGUGAAAGCCCCGGGCUCAACCUGGGAACUGCCUCCAAAACUGGCGGGCUAGAGUAGGGCAGAGGGUGGUGGAAUUCCCUGUGUAGCGGUGAAAUGCGUAGAUAUAGGGAGGAACACCAGUGGCGAAGGCGACCACCUGGGCUCAUACUGACACUGAGGUGCGAAAGCGUGGGGAGCAAACAGG
Molecule: ribosomal RNA, 429 nt
Filed under: Pseudomonadota bacterium
Lineage: Bacteria; Pseudomonadati; Pseudomonadota
Description: Proteobacteria bacterium partial 16S ribosomal RNA
Rfam family: Bacterial small subunit ribosomal RNA
Source: RNAcentral